ACCCCAGUUUUUGUCAGGUCAAACUUGUAGCCACCUGACCUUGGACAUGUAGGAAUUGGAGGCAAAGAGAUAUGGACUUGGAGAAGUCUGGAGCCAGUUUGCUCCCUGCAGGCUCAAGAUGACCCUUUCCCACAGAG
This 137-nucleotide small nucleolar RNA is filed under the name Dasypus novemcinctus (nine-banded armadillo). RNAcentral's name for it is "Small nucleolar RNA SNORA38 (ENSDNOG00000029607.1)". It matches the Rfam family "Small nucleolar RNA SNORA38", at positions 26 to 131 of the family's 131-position model. Rfam says of the family: ACA38 is a member of the H/ACA class of snoRNA that guide the sites of modification of uridines to pseudouridines. Lineage: Eukaryota; Metazoa; Chordata; Mammalia; Cingulata; Dasypodidae. The record is from RNAcentral.